CCCCACCCCCCGUGGCUGUGUUGCUACCCUUGGGAGACCCCGGCUCUCAGCUGCCCACCUCACAGCUUGGUACACUCCCCAGGAGUUCACAGGGACCAGCUCGCCAAGGGCUACGUCCUUGAUGAAGAACCGCUGCCUCACCAGGGACAUGAAUACUCGCUUGCUGCCCAGUGUCAGAGGCCAGGGACCCUCCUCACUCCACAGAUGCAGCAUGCUCUCACGCAGGGUGGCAAUCUCCUCUGUGCGCUGCAAGUGCAGAGGUAACGGUGCUAAGAGGACCCACGGGGAACAAGGACAGAGAAAUGGGAAUUGGAUGACAGAAGUGGGUGGCAGAUGUGUACGUGUGGGGAUGUCUUCUAUAGAGGCAGCCUGACGGGAGGUCCUCACCUCCAGGAAACAUUGUUCAGCACCACCCAGCUAAUGUAUCCUGGGGCCCUGUAGAGAUGGGAACAGACAGGGCUUGGGGCAGGCUGGCAGAGGGUGAGGGGGUCAGUGGUUCUCCCAGAGUUUUCUCUCACCAGCUUGGUCUCAUUAUUAAACUUCAGGUUCUGGA
RNAcentral lists this long non-coding RNA (553 nucleotides) under Rattus norvegicus (Norway rat). RNAcentral describes it as "long non-coding RNA NONRATT005271". Lineage: Eukaryota; Metazoa; Chordata; Mammalia; Rodentia; Muridae. The record is from RNAcentral.